This is a long non-coding RNA of Juglans microcarpa x Juglans regia, 1271 nucleotides long. RefSeq lists it as uncharacterized. Lineage: Eukaryota; Viridiplantae; Streptophyta; Magnoliopsida; Fagales; Juglandaceae. The record is from RefSeq and is a predicted model, not a curated record. The transcript is spliced from 2 exons.
CACUCCCAUAACCAUUUUUCUCUCAUACUCAAAAACUACCAAACUACUUUCUCCUUUCACUUACCUCUCAUCAAACCAUGCUUGAUCACCAGCUAAGAUUCACCGGUAAACCACUAUUCUGUGAGCCCUACCCACCAAAUCCAUAGCAAUCAUGACAGUGCAGGAGAUACAGAAUUCGACUUCUGGUUAGGUGGCACUGACAUGGAGGUUCAAGCUCAAACAAGCCUUAUUGAAGAAGGUUUUGAAGCUUACUCACCAGCUUUAUGGGAAAGAAUCGCAUCAAGAAAUAUUGAUUAUGAAUCUUCCCCUUUGCUCCCCCACAACCAUCAUUCCAGUAAACUUUCCUCCGCGUCAAGGAAAAAAGCAAUUGCAGAGGGUAGGAGGCAGCUUAUGGAAAUGGUUCAAGACGAGUCUUGUUUCGAGCUCUCUCUGAAAGAUAUUGUCGAUGAGCAGCAUAUCUCUGGAUUUCAAGAGGUGAUCAUCGAAAAGAAUGGAUUUCAUCUUGACACUGAGCCUCAGAUGAAGAGGAAAAAUAAAAAGAAAAAUAAAGGCAUUACUAAGGCAAGUCAGGUGUCGAGGAUCGGAAGUAUGGACAAAAAAACUUUCCAUGUUCUUCCCAACUUCUUUAGCUUUGAAGAUGAAAUCAAAGGCAGGCAACUGCUCAGAAGUUUCUCCAAGUCCAUCUUUUGAGUAUAGCAAGCAUCAUAUUGACAAGGAUUGGUGGAUGAAAAGGUUUUUGCAAGGAGUAUCCAAUAAAAGAAAUUUAGGGAAUGGCAUGGGUGGAAGCACUAGAAGAAGCAACAGCAGCACAAGCAGGAUUGAUGAUGCCAAUAUCAUACCUGGUUGCUGGUCCUUCCACACCAAGAAAAACAAGACUAAGAGACGGAGAGGAUGCAUCUUCUAAAUGGAAUGCGAUUGAGAACAGCAUAGGAAUGAUCGGGUUGUGCAUAUGCUCCUGUUAUCCUUCAGUAGCAAAUCUCUCAACUUUUUAAACUAGUCAAUUUCCACAGCUUGUUUCUGGUGGAUAAUUGAAUGAACUGUAGGUGGAGCACGAAUUAAUGGCCAGAUGCAGCCGCUGCUCUGAAUAAACUAGUCACUGAAAUUUCAGGUCAGGAAUUAACAUUUUAGACCAUCGUUGUGAUUGGUCUGAAUCUUGGCCUAGCAAAUCCUGUUGAAUAUUGUAUAAUAAAAAUCUCCCGGAACCUGUGUAUAGUUCUUUGCCAAGACAUAGGCUAAAGCCAGAUAGCCUAGCAAUAGGUCAUCUUUCUUCG